This 5000-nucleotide long non-coding RNA is filed under the name Homo sapiens (human). RNAcentral's name for it is "HSALNT0296245". Lineage: Eukaryota; Metazoa; Chordata; Mammalia; Primates; Hominidae. The record is from RNAcentral.
AUAGAGACAAAGUCUGUGUUGCCCAGGCUGGUCUCAAACUCCUGGCCUCAAGGUAUCCUCCCACCUCAGCCUUCCAAAGUGUUGGGAUUAUUGGCGUGAGCCACCAUGCCUGGCCUGCAGUGUGUUAAUAAGCUCUAACAUGAAACAAAAGAUGAGAAAGGGGGAUAGAAAAUGGUAAUGGAGAUAAAAUACUAGAAAGGGACACCAGAUUUCACUGGUAAGGUCCUUUAGGAAGGAAGGGAACAAUGUAGGUGGCUACAUGGGGAAGAGUAGCCCAUGUAGAGGGGGCAGCAAGUGCCAAGGCCCUGGGGUUGGUUGUCCGAUCUGAGGAGGUGUAUUGGCAUAAUCUGAUUAGUAGGAGCAGGUUGGAGCUGCCUGAAUAGGGCUAUAGUUUAGAAAUACCCUGUAGAGAGGAAGUGGUGCCUGGUAUACUGUACCAGGUACGGCAACUGAAAGAAGAUUUAGUUGGCAUUGCAAAGCCUGGAAUCUAAGGAGAGAGGACACAUAUAGGUGGCAAUCUGUGCCAGAGGUCAGUAAUGGGUGGAGAGAAUGUAUUUAAUGAGUGGAUAGCAAGAGUGGUGGGAAUUUGCCUAUUGUCGGCUCUAAAUAUUCUAUGCUGUGCUCUGUGAUGUCAGAUCUGAGGCUCUGCAAACUGCAGUCAGAGAUUCCUUUACCAAUAGGCUUCCUCUUAGGUUCUGUCAAGAGGAGGCAGAAGAUGAAGACUGAAAGUCAGGAGGAGGAGAGAAGAGAGUAAUUUUCUAUUUCUUGAUAUCAAUGUCAUUGCUCCAGAAGUGGCACUUUGCCCCAGCAGUGGCAUUUCAUAUCACUGUGGCAGUUUAUUAUGGCUUCCAGCUUCUUUCCGCAUUCCCAGAACCAGCCUCAACUUCCUUCCUCAAUGGUACCAGCACCGUUCAAUGUUAUGAACCAUCUCAAAGGUCAGAGCCCUAGCUUCACGGUGCCCACUUCUUCUAGUGCCUAAGUUCUGAUAGCCCCAACCCUCACCUUUUCAUCCCCCAGCCUUGGGAUGGUAAUUGCUUUCUGCUUUAUGCAGUUAUUAAAUUUCCGCUCAGUCAGCUCUCCAACACCUGUGUGAUCAAUCAAUUCCUUAUUAAAUCCAUGCUCUUGAAAUACCUAAUAUGGUGUCUACUUUCCUGACCGGAUCUUGACUCUGUCUACUUGUUGACCAAGUACUUGCCUGGAUUUCUGAGUAAUACCUCCCUGUGGAUUCCGUGCUCUGGGCUCUACUCCUACAUCAAAGAGUUACUGGGAAUGCCAACAUGCGUCUCUGAGUGGUUUCCUUGUCUGUCAUAAUUGGAAUAACAAUACCCAUCUUCUAUUCUGGUAGCAGUGUUAGUUAAUUUACUAGAAAAGGCACCUGUACAGAGACCUGAAAAGGGCAUGACUUCAAAUCACAGAAGCCUGUUUGAUGCAGUUUAAGCAGCAAAUGGGAACACAGUAUAUGGACACUAGUGUCAUAUGGAAUCCAAGAGCAGGAAGAGCAUCUCGACCUUGGGAAGAGCUUGCAACUGAGAACUCGAAAACUGCCAGGAGUCUAACUUGCCUUUGCUUUUUUCUGCACAUUGACUUCAUUCUUUUUUCCCUGCUGGCCAGGUCUAUAGGGGAGGGAGCAGUACCAAGGUCACUGUAGACUGAGAAGACCUACAAACACCUACUCUCCUGGGCCUCAGUAAUGCCAAUGAAACUUGGAAUUGGGGUCCAGAUGAGAUGUAGGUCUUUAAUCCCAAAUGGACUAGCUGCUACUGAACAGAUCCCCCUAUCUCAGGCUUAGAUUGAUUCUAAGGAGGUGGGGAGGGAUGAGACUGAGUCUGCAGAUGAGGAUCCAGGGGUCUCGGUUGCAGGAAGUGAGAGAGAUGCAGACUCAGGACCCAUCUCUCCAUUCACUUCUGCCAGUUCUCUCAAGUGUAUUCCAGAUUUCUCGUGAAAAAGAAAAAAAUUCUACCUCCAAUCUUCAUUCUGUUGAAGAAACUGGGGCUCCCCAUGGGCUAAGCAAAGAAUGAAAGAUUUCAGGGCUUGAUCUGUGUUCUCAGAGAUUACUGACAUCCCAUAGGGUGAUCUUGUCUAGAUUCCAUCCCCCUCAAACCACUCCCCUGACCCCUGAUUGGUUUUGGGGUGCUUUGCCUAUUUAUUUUUUCUAUUUGUUUUAUUCACCUCAAAUCUCUUAAAUGUUUAAAAUGAAAACAGUUUAUGCACCUGUGUUCUUCUCUGGGACAUGGAGGACCUUAAAGAACACAGAUUCCAUCCAUAAGAUAAACAUCUGAGCCUUCCCAGAAACAGACAAGGAUUACAGAGAAUCAGAAUCUGGUCUUUAUCUCGAAAGGCAAUUUGAGUGCUGCUGGACAUUGCAAACUGGAAUUGUACAUGGAAAAAUAACAUUGGUGCUAUAAAUUCCUUUCUGCUUUGAAAUAUGUUGUGUGUUAGAAACAGAGAGGUAAUGUUUAUGGUGUAACUCAGAAUACUGGGAUAGAGUUAUGCAUUAAGAGUGGGACGAUAGGACAUUAUGCAAACAGAGUCCCUAAAGAGAGAUGUUUUAGUGGGUAAAAUAAUUUUUAAGAAUUAUUUAGAUACUCCCUACCAAUAAGUACUCACAGAUAUUAACCUCCCAGACUUCCACUGUCCUCCAGAGAUCGAUGGGAAAAGAGGAAUGAAUCACUAAAAAUAAAGCUCAAUAACUAAAAGAGCUUUAUCCUCCAAACUUCUUGGAUCAGUACAGUCAGUGGGGACUAUGUUGAUUCUCUCAUGGAUGCUGGAGAGACUCCAGCCUGGAAGCAAGGCAGCUGAGAGUCUUUAAGUUUCAUAAGAAGGGUUACUAUUAAGUAUAAGAUGAUUCCUGAAAACUGGGCCUGAGCAUGGAAAAGUAACACUGCUUCUCCAAGUUCACUCUGCUUGGACACAGGGGUGCAAGAGGUGCUGGGAGAUGGUUCAGCUAGCCGAGGGUUGUUUCCACAGAGUACAGACAAGGAUAGGGUUCAAAUGGCAGUGGGGAGAUUCAGGAUACAUAAAGCAGAACUUUUGACACUGAGUGUUGAUAAACACUGAGGACUGUCGAGAGAUCCUGUUUUCUGGAGAUGCUUAAAAGAAGGUUGCUAUCUUAUCUGACAGGGAUGGUUUAGGGUGCCGGACUGUAGCCUGGAGAAGGGUUUAUAUCCUUGAUCAUUAUAUAAAAUAAGUCAUUUAAAAAACUUUUUGUAGCCUCACUCUCUUCAAGGAAGCUAAAGCUGAGUUACAAUUCUGAGAUUUCUGUGUCUAUUUCUUCACCUCUCAUCUUAGAAUUUCUGCCGAGGCAAGUAAUUGCUAUUCUUUCUCUACAAUGAAAAAGAAAAUGAAAGAACAGCAAAGCAGGCAGGGAGACCAGAUAACCUCGUGCUCCAGAAUUGAGUGUAAAUUAAGAGUCUAGAGGCUCUGAGGUUUGUUAUUGAUGCCAAAUGGGCAGGAGGAGCACUGAGAAUCACAAGAACUGGAUUCAAACUCAGAUUCUGUUACUUAACAGCAAAAAACCUCAACUAAGUUACCAAGUCCCUGAGCUUCAUUUUCCUUCCCUUGAAGUGAGGAUAUUAAUAUCUGCACUGAGUACAUAUUGGGGCUGUCUGAGGAUCAGAUGAAGUCAUGUCUGUGAAAGCACUCCUUGAACUGUGAAAUAUUGUAUGUGGCAUUGUUAGAAACAGACAAAUAAGAAUCUUAUUUUGGCCAUUAACCUUAACUUUCUCUUAACUUUUCCGUUCAUCCGUGGGAGAGUCACCAGAUGGACUGAUUUGAAUUUUCCUUUUUUGAUUUCUCAUCUCUCUCUCUGGUGGACGUGCUAAGGGGUAGGAACAUAAUCAUUGAUGGGCUUCAGGAGGGCAAAGGAUGGGGAAAAAAAGGACAUCGAUGAUUUUCCAUAUGGAUAACAAGACUUCAAACUCUGAAAAACUAAGAAUUAACUAUUUCCUAACUGCUCUGAAAUUUUUCCUGUACACUACAGAAACACACAGCAUAUUAUUGUCACACAGACACACAUUUUGUUGUCACACAUACACACACGUGUUCUAGCUCUGGCAGGUAUGAUCUUGGGCAAAUUAACUUCUCUGUGCAUUGGUUUUCUCAUAUGGCCAUUGGGAAAAUAAUAGUACCCAUCCCAUAAAAUUCUUGUGAGUGUUAAAUGAAAUAAUAAAUGUGGAAUUCUUAUAACAGUGUCUGGUAUACAGUGUCAGAAGUUUUAUAUGUCAAAAGUUCUGCUUUAUAUAUCCUGAAUCUCCCCUCCUGCUAAUUGUACUCAAUAAAUUAUUAUUUCUGGAUCUUAUUUGAUCUUCACAACCCUGUGAAUUUUCAGUUCAUAUUGUCCCCCAUUUUACAAUUAGAAACGUGAAUGACUUGUUCAAGGUGACUCUGCCCCCUAGGGGUUUGUAAUUGGAUCACUUUCCAUGAAAGUGUCCAACAGGAGAACAGCACCUAGUAGUGUGCAGGGUUAGGACCCAGAAGAUAAAGUGAACACUCUCUUAGAGUUAAAAUUAUCUUUGAAAGACCUUUAAAUCACUUACAGUAUACAUACUUCUGUGGAUAUGACUUCAUAGGAUAAUUCUUAAGGACACUAAAAUUCGAGAAUCGUGGGGUAAAUUCAGGAAGACACUAAAAGCAAGUCUAUAUGCAGCUGUCUGAACAUUCAGACUAUUUUGCUUUUUAGAAAACUAAGGUGUUUCUAUUGUCUACAAGAGUUCCUCCACACUGAUUUUUAAAGACUAUUAAGCCUUUAUGCCUUAAUAUAUGUCAAUGGAUUUGUCUAUUAUGGAUAGAACAACCAGGAACAGGGAGUCUUAAGAAUUAGGUUCUAAAAUUGGAGGCCGGGCGCGGUGGCUCAUGCUUGUAAUCCUAGCACUGUGGGAGGCUGAGGCGGGUGGAUCACUUGAGGUCAGCGGUUUGAGAGCAGCCUGGCCAGCAUGGUGAAACACCGUCUCUACUAAAAAUACAAAAAUUUGCUGGGCGUGGUGGUGUGCACCUGUAAUCCC